RNAcentral lists this ribosomal RNA (439 nucleotides) under uncultured bacterium. Its description in RNAcentral is "partial 16S ribosomal RNA". It matches the Rfam family "Bacterial small subunit ribosomal RNA", at positions 339 to 795 of the family's 1533-position model. The record is from RNAcentral.
CUACGGGCGGCACCAGUGGGGAAUCUUAGACAAUGGGCGCAAGCCUGAUCUAGCCAUGCCGCGUGAGUGACGAAGGCCUUAGGGUCGUAAAGCUCUUUCGCUGGGGAAGAUAAUGACGGUACCCAGUAAAGAAACCCCGGCUAACUCCGUGCCAGCAGCCGCGGUAAUACGGAGGGGGUUAGCGUUGUUCGGAAUUACUGGGCGUAAAGCGCGCGGAGGCGGAUCAGAAAGUUGGGGGUGAAAUCCCGGGGCUCAACCCCGGAACUGCCUUCAAAACUCCUGGUCUUGAGUUCGAGAGAGGUGAGUGGAAUUCCGAGUGUAGAGGUGAAAUUCGUAGAUAUUCGGAGGAACACCAGUGGCGAAGGCGGCUCACUGGCUCGAUACUGACGCUGAGGUGCGAAAGCGUGGGGAGCAAACAGGAUUAGAUACCCCAGUAGUC